RNAcentral lists this long non-coding RNA (480 nucleotides) under Rattus norvegicus (Norway rat). RNAcentral's name for it is "long non-coding RNA NONRATT014339". The record is from RNAcentral. Lineage: Eukaryota; Metazoa; Chordata; Mammalia; Rodentia; Muridae.
CGCUUCGUCUAUGAGAAGACGGGCGGAUGCCAGAAGCUCGUCAAGAACAUCGAGUACCCUGUGGACUUGGAGAUCAGCAGAGAACUGCUUUCUCCAGGCGUCAAAAAUAAAAACUUUAAAUGCCACAGAACCUAUAGGCUGUUCGCAGGUGAGUGUGUUUGCCCUCUUCUCCCUCAAAACCACAGUGAACAGAGAGUCUAAGGUACCAGGCAAAAAUGCCCUGGAACACACACCACAGACAGGGUCCAAGGAGAGCUCAGUUGUCUGUAAAGCAUUUGUGCCCGUUUUUGCCUUGAGUCGUGGCUGACAGGAGAGAGUGUUGCUGUCUGUGAGCAUCCGCCUGAGUCAGUGGCCUGCAGGCUCCUGUGGUGCCACCUCCCUUUGGAACAGUUGGGUGGGGGUCGGUGAGGAGGGUGUGAGGGUGGGGGUCUGAGGCAGUGGGGUGAGGGGCUGUUCUCACGGGCUGCCCGCUUGGUGCUG